Ostrea edulis (European flat oyster) is the source of this 584-nucleotide long non-coding RNA. RefSeq lists it as uncharacterized. The record is from RefSeq and is a predicted model, not a curated record. The transcript has 3 exons. NCBI's taxonomy places the organism in Eukaryota, Metazoa, Mollusca, Bivalvia, Ostreida, Ostreidae.
AGAUGCGGGCUUCGUGGACUUCCGGUUCUUGACCAGGUUGUUAUUUUUGGCAAAUUAAUUAAGUGUUUUGUGCAUUUCUUUAAAGUGUAACUUUGUCAUUUACAUGUCAGGAGUCUUUAUUCAAAAGAAUGACACAGGGCAGUGCAUUACAGUUUGUGAAGAAGAAUAGGUUGGCCAUUCUAUUUCCCACAGUAACAGCUUGCUUUAUACUGUAUGAUCUAAAUCGCACAAGAAUAUUUAAAGCUAAAGUGGCGGAGAGGGACAGGAGAUUGAAGCAACAAUGAAAGAAAUGGGGAAAAUGAGUAAUGGCCCAAAUUUCAGUUUUAAACAUCUGACGCCUGUGCAGCGGAAGAGAACUAUGAUGGUCUUCUAUGCAUUAGCUCUGCCAAUUUGUUUCAUUAGUAAAUAUGUGGAAAGGAAGUUCUAUUUUGACCGUAUGGACAGUCAUUUGAAUAAAAGUAAUCUCUUCGGAGGACGCAAAUUGUACCCAGAUACAUGGACCGGAAAAGAAUGGUGAAGUGUUAUCAUGUGUGAAGUUACAAAUACCUAUAGUUGUAAAAUAAAGUGUUGAAUUUACCAUGUGA